RNAcentral lists this ribosomal RNA (497 nucleotides) under Pseudocoutierea antillensis. RNAcentral describes it as "partial small subunit ribosomal RNA". The record is from RNAcentral. Lineage: Eukaryota; Metazoa; Arthropoda; Malacostraca; Decapoda; Palaemonidae.
AAAGGUUUAAGUUUAAUUUAUUAAAAAUAGUAGGUGAAAUUUUUAAUUUUAAAUAAAUUUUGGUUUAACUUUGUUAUUAGAAGCUAAUAAGGCUUAGGGUUAAACUAGGAUUAGAUACCCUAUUAUUCUAUGCUUAGAAAUAUUUGCUUGAGUAGUAAACAGCUAUUAUCUUGAAACUUAAAGGAUUUGGCGGUAUUUAAGUCUAGUUAGAGGAACCUGUUUUUUAAACGAUACACCACGAAAUAUCUUACUUUUGUUUGUUUAGUAUGUAUACCUCCAUUAUAUAGUAAUAUUAAUAAAUAUGUGCUUUAAUAUACUCAUUUAAUAAAUUAGGUCAAGGUGCAGCUUAUACAAAAGUUCUUAUGGGUUACAGUAUUUUAAUAUCUGGAUUAAGAUUUUAUAAUUCUUAUGAAAUUGGAUUUAAUUGUAUUUCUGUUUUAAUAUGUCAGAUUGAUAUUAGCUCUAAAAUAUGUACACAUUGCCCGUCGCUCUCAUUA